RNAcentral lists this transfer RNA (65 nucleotides) under Ictidomys tridecemlineatus (thirteen-lined ground squirrel). Its description in RNAcentral is "Spermophilus tridecemlineatus (thirteen-lined ground squirrel) tRNA". It matches the Rfam family "tRNA". From Rfam's summary of the family: Transfer RNA (tRNA) molecules are approximately 80 nucleotides in length. Their secondary structure includes four short double-helical elements and three loops (D, anti-codon, and T loops). RNAcentral also lists the same sequence under 1 other name. The record is from Rfam by way of RNAcentral. Lineage: Eukaryota; Metazoa; Chordata; Mammalia; Rodentia; Sciuridae.
GAUGUAGCACAGUGGUAGAGUGCUUGUUUAGCAUGCAUGAGGUCCUAGGUUCAAUUCCUAGUAUC